Non-coding RNA from Coturnix japonica (Japanese quail), 307 nucleotides. The record is from RefSeq and is a predicted model, not a curated record. NCBI's taxonomy places the organism in Eukaryota, Metazoa, Chordata, Aves, Galliformes, Phasianidae.
UAUAUCCCCCAUAGCUCGGUGUCGAUCCCGAUCCCGUUCCUGGACCAUCUCGACCCCCCCACGUCCUGGUGGGACCCGGAGGCCGACAAGUCGCUGCUCAUCGGGGUCUUCAAACACGGGUACGAGAGGUACAACGCCAUGAGGGCUGACCCCAGUCUGUGCUUCUUGGAGAGGGUCGGGGGCCCGGACCCCAAAGAGCUGGAACAGGAGAUGAACAUGGACGGCAAUGACGGAGUGGAGUUGGACUGCGAAGACCCCGAAUAUAAACCCAUCCAUGGGGCCAACAAGGAGGGCGACGAGGAGGUGA